UGAGAGUUUGAUCCUGGCUCAGGAUGAACGCUGGCGGCGUGCUUAACACAUGCAAGUCGAACGGUGAAGCUCAGCUUGCUGGGUGGAUCAGUGGCGAACGGGUGAGUAACACGUGAGCAAUCUGCCCCUGACUCUGGGAUAAGCGCUGGAAACGGCGUCUAAUACUGGAUACGAACCGUGGAGGCAUCUUCAACGGUUGGAAAGAUUUUUUGGUCAGGGAUGAGCUCGCGGCCUAUCAGCUUGUUGGUGAGGUAAUGGCUCACCAAGGCGUCGACGGGUAGCCGGCCUGAGAGGGUGACCGGCCACACUGGGACUGAGACACGGCCCAGACUCCUACGGGAGGCAGCAGUGGGGAAUAUUGCACAAUGGGCGAAAGCCUGAUGCAGCAACGCCGCGUGAGGGAUGACGGCCUUCGGGUUGUAAACCUCUUUUAGCAGGGAAGAAGCGAAAGUGACGGUACCUGCAGAAAAAGCGCCGGCUAACUACGUGCCAGCAGCCGCGGUAAUACGUAGGGCGCAAGCGUUAUCCAGAAUUAUUGGGCGUAAAGAGCUCGUAGGCGGUUUGUCGCGUCUGCUGUGAAAUCCCGAGGCUCAACUUCGGGUCUGCAGUGGGUACGGGCAGACUAGAGUGCGGUAGGGGAGAUUGGAAUUCCUGGUGUAGCGGUGGAAUGCGCAGAUAUCAGAGGAACACCGAUGGCGAAGCAGAUCUCUGGGCCGUAACUG
Molecule: ribosomal RNA, 722 nt
Filed under: uncultured bacterium
Lineage: Bacteria
Description: bacterial SSU rRNA
Rfam family: Bacterial small subunit ribosomal RNA
Source: RNAcentral